GGAGGCGUGCCCGAAAACAAGGACUACUUUGAUAGAGUAGACUACAGGGGCUAGCCCCCCUCACCUCCC
This 69-nucleotide transfer RNA is filed under the name Tropiocolotes steudneri. Its description in RNAcentral is "tRNA-Ile". The record is from RNAcentral. Lineage: Eukaryota; Metazoa; Chordata; Lepidosauria; Squamata; Gekkonidae.